AGAGUUUGAUCCUGGCUCAGAAUGAACGCUGGCGGCGUGCUUAACACAUGCAAGUCGCACGAGAAAGCCUUGGCUUGCCAGGGCGAGUAAAGUGGCGCACGGGUGAGUAACGCGUGGGUAAUCUACCCUUGAAUCGGGGAUAACCCUUCGAAAGGAGGGCUAACACCGGAUAAUAUCGGUUUAUUUUYGRAUWUACCGAUCAAAUGUGGCCUCUACAWGUAAGCUACUGUUUGAGGAUGAGCCCGCGUACCAUUAGCUAGUUGGYAGGGUAAAGGCCUACCAAGGCGACGAUGGUUAGCUGGUCUGAGAGGAUGAUCAGCCACACUGGAACUGACACACGGUCCAGACUCCUACGGGAGGCAGCAGUGAGGAAUUUUGCGCAAUGGGGGAAACCCUGACGCAGCAACGCCGCGUGAGUGAUGAAGGCUUUCGGGUCGUAAAGCUCUGUCAAGUGGGAAGAACCUACUUAUGGYUAAUAYCCAUGAGUACUGACGGUACCACUGAAGGAAGCACCGGCUAACUCCGUGCCAGCAGCCGCGGUAAUACGGGGGGUGCAAGCGUUAUUCGGAUUUACUGGGCGUAAAGCGCGCGCAGGCGGUUUUGUAAGUCAGAUGUGAAAGCCCUGGGCUCAACCCGGGAAGUGCAUCUGAUACUGCAAGACUUGAGUAUGGGAGAGGGAAGUGGAAUUCCUGGUGUAGAGGUGAAAUUCGUAGAUAUCAGGAGGAACAUCGGUGGCGAAGGCGACUUCCUGGACCAAUACUGACGCUGAGGCGCGAAGGCGUGGGGAGCAAACAGGAUUAGAUACCCUGGUAGUCC
RNAcentral lists this ribosomal RNA (816 nucleotides) under uncultured bacterium. RNAcentral's name for it is "bacterial SSU rRNA". It matches the Rfam family "Bacterial small subunit ribosomal RNA", at positions 8 to 796 of the family's 1533-position model. The record is from RNAcentral.